Molecule: ribosomal RNA, 252 nt
Filed under: uncultured bacterium
Lineage: Bacteria
Description: partial 16S ribosomal RNA
Rfam family: Bacterial small subunit ribosomal RNA
Source: RNAcentral
UACGAAGGGGCGAGCGUUGUUCGGAAUUACUGGGCGUAAAGGGCGCGUAGGCGGCCGAUCAAGUCAGAUGUGAAAGUCCUGGGCUUAACCUGGGGACUGCAUUUGAUACUGAUUGGCUUGAAUGCAGGAGAGGAUAGCGGAAUUCCCAGUGUAGAGGUGAAAUUCGUAGAUAUUGGGAAGAACACCGGUGGCGAAGGCGGCUAUCUGGACUGUGAUUGACGCUGGAGGCGCGAAAGCGUGGGAGCAAACAGG